GUGAGUGGCACCCGGCACCUGUCACCUGUCACCCGUGUCACCUGUGUCACCUGUGUCACCUCUGUCACUUGUCACCCAUGUCACCUGUGUCACCCGUGUCACCUGUAUUACGUGUCACCUGUCACCUGUGUCACCCGUAUCACCUGUGUCACCCGUGUCACCUGUGUCACCUGUAUUACAUGUCACCCAUCACCCGUGUCACCCAUGUCACCCAUGUCACCUUUGUCACCCGUGUCACCCGUGUCACCUGUGUCACCUGUACUACAUGUCACUUGUCACCCAUGUCACCCACGUCACCCGUAUUACGUGUCACCUGUCACCCAUGUCACCUCUGUCACCUCUGUCACCUCUGUCACCUGUGUCAGUUGUCACCCAUGUCACCUGUGUCACUUCUGUCACUUGUCACUUGUGUCACCCGUAUUACUGUUACCCAUGUCACCUGUAUCACCUGUCACUUGUCACCCAUGUCACCCGUGUCACCCGUGUCACUUCUGUCACCUCUGUCACCUGUAUUUCUUGUGUCACCUGUAUUACCUGUGUCACCGGUGUCACCCAUGUCACUUGUGUCACCUGUCACCUCUGUCACCCAUGUCACUCGUCAACCAUGUCACCUGUGUCACCUCUGUUACUUCUGUCACCUCUCACCUGUCAUCCAUGUCACCUAUCACCCAUGUCACCCAUCACCUGUGUCACCUGUCACCCAUUGUCCUUGUUGCCUGUCACCCGUGCCACCCAUGUCAUUUAUUGUCCGUGUCACUUGUCACCCGUGUCACCUGUCACCCUGUCACCCGUGACUCGUCACCCAUGUCACCCGUGUCAUUUGUCACCUGUGUCACUUGUCACCUGUGUUCCCAUCAUCCGCGUCGUCUGUCACCCAUCACCGAUGUCACCCUGUCACCUGCCACCCAGGUUACCUGUCACCUGUGUCACCCACCGCUUGUGGUCCAUGUCACCCGUGUCACCUGUGUCACCUUGUGUCACCCCAUGUCACCUGUCACCUGUGUCACCCCAUGUCACCCAUGUCACCUUGUGUCACCUUGUGUCACCCAUGCCCCUUGUCACCCCGUGCCACCCGUGCCACCCUUUGUCACCCGUGUCCCCGUGUCCCCAGGCUCCAGCCACAUCCUGACCCCGCGGAGCUUCCUGGAGGCCGUGGAGGGGCUGGACCAGCCCCUGCCCCCCCCGCAGUGACCGGGGGCACCCAUGGGUGCUGCAGCCCCGCCGGGGGGGGGGGGGGAGGGGAUUAUGGGUGCAAUUAAA
Molecule: long non-coding RNA, 1260 nt
Filed under: Anas platyrhynchos platyrhynchos (common mallard)
Lineage: Eukaryota; Metazoa; Chordata; Aves; Anseriformes; Anatidae
Description: lncRNA (ENSAPLG00000020896.1)
Source: RNAcentral